This 206-nucleotide ribosomal RNA is filed under the name uncultured bacterium. RNAcentral describes it as "partial 16S ribosomal RNA". It matches the Rfam family "Bacterial small subunit ribosomal RNA", at positions 568 to 774 of the family's 1533-position model. The record is from RNAcentral.
CAUGUAGGCGGGCUUUUAAGUCUGACGUGAAAAUGCGGGGCUUAACCCCGUAUGGCGUUGGAUACUGGAAGUCUUGAGUGCAGGAGAGGAAAGGGGAAUUCCCAGUGUAGCGGUGAAAUGCGUAGAUAUUGGGAGGAACACCAGUGGCGAAGGCGCCUUUCUGGACUGUGUCUGACGCUGAGAUGCGAAAGCCAGGGUAGCAAACG